This 344-nucleotide ribosomal RNA is filed under the name uncultured bacterium. RNAcentral's name for it is "partial 16S ribosomal RNA". It matches the Rfam family "Bacterial small subunit ribosomal RNA", at positions 338 to 682 of the family's 1533-position model. The record is from RNAcentral.
CCUACGGGAGGCAGCAGUGGGGAAUAUUGCACAAUGGGGGAAACCCUGAUGCAGCGACGCCGCGUGAGUGAAGAAGUAUUUCGGUACGUAAAGCUCUAGCAGCAGGGAAGAAAAAAAGUCCGUGGGACUGUGGACGGGACCGGACCAAGAAGCCACGGCGAACGACGUGCCAGCAGCCGCGGGAAUACGUAGGGGGCAAGCGUUAUCCGGAUUUACUGGGUGGAAAGGGAGCGUAGACGGUAGCGCAAGGCGGGAGUGAAAGGCCGGGGCCCACCCCCGGAACUGCUUUGGACACGGUGCAGCUGGAGUGCAGGAGCGGUAAGCGGCAUUCCUCGUGUAGCGGU